CACUUGUCUUUUAAAUGAAGACCUGUAUGAAUGGCAUAACGAGGGUUUAACUGUCUCCUUCCCCCAGUCAAUGAAAUUGAUCUGCCCGUGCAGAAGCGGACAUAAAAACAUAAGACGAGAAGACCCUAUGGAGCUUUAGGCCAAGGAACAAGCAUGUUAAUAGACUAUACAAAACCAAAGAGACAAAAAAGUCACAAUAAACCAAAUGUAAAAUGAACCAAGUGCCUUCGGUUGGGGCGACCACGGGGAAAAGACAAACCCCCACAUGGAAUGGAGAUAACCCUCCUAAACUAAGAAGUACACUUCUAAGUAACAGAAUUUCUGACCAAAAAUGACCCAGGAUAAUGUAUCCUGAUCAAUGAACCAAGUUACCCUAGGGAUAACAGCGCAAUCCUUUCCCAGAGCCCAUAUCGAC
Molecule: ribosomal RNA, 415 nt
Filed under: Facciolella gilbertii (dogface witch-eel)
Lineage: Eukaryota; Metazoa; Chordata; Actinopteri; Anguilliformes; Nettastomatidae
Description: partial 16S ribosomal RNA
Rfam family: Bacterial large subunit ribosomal RNA
Source: RNAcentral